Molecule: non-coding RNA, 539 nt
Organism: Pelobates cultripes (western spadefoot toad)
Lineage: Eukaryota; Metazoa; Chordata; Amphibia; Anura; Pelobatidae
Source: the annotation of a GenBank genome assembly
GUACAACAUCGCAAAAACAGUCCAGUCCUUAAGGGGUUAAAACAAAUUUGCAUGUUAUGAUAUAAACAUAUGUAUUUGGGUUUUUAGCUUUAGGAAUAGUUUUUACAUGCAUUUUAAACAUACCACAAAGUCCCUAUAUGAAACAAAAAUACAUUUCAUGAUUUGUAAAUAUCACGCAUUUGUGCUUAUCAUAAUUUUUUUAUUCUAUUUGAUCUUGCAGGAGUCUGUGGAGACUGGAAGAACUAUUUUACUGUUGCCCAGAAUGAAAUAUUUGAUGAUGUUUAUCAAGAACAAAUGAAAGAUUUAAAUACUAAACUAUUUUGGGAUGAGAACUAACAUGUUCCACUAAAGGGCAGUUAAAUUUUUUUGUGGUUUUCAUUUAAAGAAAGUACAGAUAAUCAUUAUGAAAGAAAUUAAAGAAAGUGACAUUCUGAGUUACAGGCUACUUUACCAAGUGUAUUUUAGUAUGUAAUAUUUAGGCAAUAUUAUGAUAAAUUUGUUUCAAAUCUGAAUGUGUUUCCUGUUAUUUAAUUGAGGAG